UACGAAGGGGGCGAGCGUUGUUCGGAUUUACUGGGCGUAAAGGGCGCGUAGGCGGCCCUCCUUGUCGCGUGUGAAAGCCCCGGGCUCAACUGGGGAGGGUCACUUGAUACUGAUCGACUCGAAGGCAGGAGAGGGAAGCGGAAUUCCCGGUGUAGUGGUGAAAUGCGUAGAUAUCGGGAGGAACACCAGUGGCGAAGGCGGCUUCCUGGCCUGUUCUUGACGCUGAGGCGCGAAAGCUAGGGGAGCAAACGGG
RNAcentral lists this ribosomal RNA (253 nucleotides) under uncultured bacterium. Its description in RNAcentral is "partial 16S ribosomal RNA". It matches the Rfam family "Bacterial small subunit ribosomal RNA", at positions 524 to 776 of the family's 1533-position model. The record is from RNAcentral.